UGAGGAAUAUUGGUCAAUGGACGCAAGUCUGAACCAGCCAUGCCGCGUGCAGGAAGACGGCUCUAUGAGUUGUAAACUGCUUUUGUACGAGGGUAAACUCACCUACGUGUAGGUGACUGAAAGUAUCGUACGAAUAAGGAUCGGCUAACUCCGUGCCAGCAGCCGCGGUAAUACGGAGGAUUCAAGCGUUAUCCGGAUUUAUUGGGUUUAAAGGGUGCGUAGGCGGUUUGAUAAGUUAGAGGUGAAAUCCCGGGGCUUAACUCCGGAACUGCCUCUAAUACUGUUAGACUAGAGAGUAGUUGCGGUAGGCGGAAUGUAUGGUGUAGCGGUGAAAUGCUUAGAGAUCAUACAGAACACCGAUUGCGAAGGCAGCUUACCAAACUAUAUCUGACGUUGAGGCACGAAAGCGUGGGGAGCAAACAGGAUUAGAUACCCUGGUAGUCCACGCAGUAAACGAUGAUAACUCGUUGUCGGCGAUACACAGUCGGUGACUAAGCGAAAGCGAUAAGUUAUCCACCUGGGGAGUACGUUCGCAAGAAUGAAACUCAAAGGAAUUGACGGGGGCCCGCACAAGCGGAGGAACAUGUGGUUUAAUUCGAUGAUACGCGAGGAACCUUACCCGGGCUUGAAAGUUACUGACGAUUCUGGAAACAGGAUUUCCCUUCGGGGCAGGAAACUAGGUGCUGCAUGGUUGUCGUCAGCUCGUGCCGUGAGGUGUCGGGUUAAGUCCCAUAACGAGCGCAACCCCUACCGUUAGUUGCCAUCAGGUCAAGCUGGGCACUCUGGCGGGACUGCCGGUGUAAGCCGAGAGGAAGGUGGGGAUGACGUCAAAUCAGCACGGCCCUUACGUCCGGGGCUACACACGUGUUACAAUGGUAGGUACAGAGGGUCGCUACCCCGCGAGGGGAUGCCAAUCUCGAAAGCCUAUCUCAGUUCGGAUUGGAGGCUGAAACCCGCCUCCAUGAAGUUGGAUUCGCUAGUAAUCGCGCAUCAGCCAUGGCGCGGUGAAUACGUUCCC
RNAcentral lists this ribosomal RNA (1018 nucleotides) under uncultured bacterium. RNAcentral describes it as "bacterial SSU rRNA". It matches the Rfam family "Bacterial small subunit ribosomal RNA", at positions 355 to 1375 of the family's 1533-position model. The record is from RNAcentral. RNAcentral also lists the same sequence under 1 other name.